AUUUUUAUACGACUGCAAAAAUUUUAAUUUUUUGGUCGUAUAUUGCUAUCACGUUGGCGUCGUCCUGCGUCGUCGUCCGAAUACUUUUAGUUUUCGCACUCUAACUUUAGUAAAAGUGAAUAGAAAUCAAUGAAAUUUUAACACAAGGUUUAUGACCACAAAAGGAAGGUUGGGAUUGAUUUUGGGAGUUUUGGUCCCAACAUUUUAGGAAUUAGGGGCCAAAAAGGGCCCAAAUAAGCAUUUUCUUGGUUUUCGCACUAUAACUUUAGUUUAAGUGAAUAGAAAUCUAUGAAAUUUUGACACAAGGUUUAUGACCACAAAAGGACGGUUGGGAUUGUCUUUGGGAGUUUUGGUUCCAACAGUUUAGGAAUUAAGGGCCAAAAAAGGGCCCAAAUAAGCAUUAUUCUUGGUUUUCGCACAAUAACUUUAGUAUAAGUAAUAGAAAUCAAUGAAAUUUAAACACAAGGUUUAUGACCACAAAAGGAAGGUUGGGAUUGAUUUUUGGAGUUGAGGUCACAACAGUUUAUGAAUUAGGGGCCAAAAAGGGACCCAAAUAAGCAUUAUUUUUGGUUUUUGCACCAUAACUUUAGUAUAAGUAAAUAGAAAUCUAUGAAAUUUAAACACAAGGUUUAUGACCAUAAAAGGAAGGUUGGGUUUGAUUUUGGGAGUUUUGGUCCCAACAGUUUAGGAAUAAGGGGCCCAAAGGGUCCAAAAUUGAACUUUGUGUGAUUUCAUCUAAAAUUGAAUAAUUGGGGUUCUUUGAUAUG
Molecule: long non-coding RNA, 767 nt
Filed under: Mytilus galloprovincialis (Mediterranean mussel)
Lineage: Eukaryota; Metazoa; Mollusca; Bivalvia; Mytilida; Mytilidae
Source: RNAcentral